Erigeron canadensis is the source of this 422-nucleotide long non-coding RNA. RefSeq lists it as uncharacterized. The record is from RefSeq and is a predicted model, not a curated record. NCBI's taxonomy places the organism in Eukaryota, Viridiplantae, Streptophyta, Magnoliopsida, Asterales, Asteraceae. The transcript has 2 exons.
UCUUUGCAAUCUUUUGUGCAGACCAUUCUCAGUUGAGUUCAAGGUUACCAUCCUUAUUACAUUUCAGAUGAAUUCUUCAACGUGCAGCAAAAAUCUGAUCCAAAAGCUUUUAGAAAAUGGGUUGCAAUGGAAAGCCUUCCGUUGGAGCUAAUUUAAUCAAUGGAAUUGUUUUUGUAAUGUCAUAACUUACAAUGUACAGUUUUAUAUGGAAAAUGUUAUCUGGACAAAUCAAACAGCUAGCUGCACUUGAGCAGAGACCAGAAUGGCGUCGUUUUGUAAUUAUCAAGAUUACAGUAUCCAGUUUUACCAAUGUAGUGUAGCUCAGCAAUACAAAUGCAGAUUUAUUAAACUGACGACUUUAUGUACUUAUGUGAAUGGGUCAUGUACAACAAUUGUGUUAUCUAAUCUCCUAUUUUGUGCAA